Molecule: ribosomal RNA, 507 nt
Filed under: uncultured bacterium
Lineage: Bacteria
Description: bacterial SSU rRNA
Rfam family: Bacterial small subunit ribosomal RNA
Source: RNAcentral
AUUGAACGCUAGCGGCAUGCUUAACACAUGCAAGUCGAACGGUAACAGGACUAGCUUGCUAGUCGCUGACGAGUGGCGGACGGGUGAGUAAUGCGUAGGAAUCUACCUUGUAGUGGGGGAUAACCCGGGGAAACUCGGGCUAAUACCGCAUAAUCUCUACGGAGCAAAGUGGGGGACUUUCGAGCCUCACGCUAUAAGAUGAGCCUACGUCGGAUUAGCUUGUUGGUGGGGUAAUGGCCUACCAAGGCGACGAUCCGUAGCUGGUCUGAGAGGACGAUCAGCCACACUGGGACUGAGACACGGCCCAGACUCCUACGGGAGGCAGCAGUGGGGAAUAUUGGACAAUGGGCGAAAGCCUGAUCCAGCAAUGCCGCGUGUGUGAAGAAGGCCUUCGGGUUGUAAAGCACUUUCAGUGGGGAAGAAAAGUUCAUGGCUAAUAUCCAUGGACCUUGACGUUACCUACAGAAGAAGCACUGGCUAACUCUGUGCCAGCCGCCGCCGUAAAAC